GGCCUUAUAUUCAAGAGUGAUUUUGGAUUGCAAAUCUAAAGGUGAAGUGAAAAGCUUCUAAGGCUU
Molecule: transfer RNA, 66 nt
Filed under: Lachnaia cylindrica
Lineage: Eukaryota; Metazoa; Arthropoda; Insecta; Coleoptera; Chrysomelidae
Description: tRNA-Cys
Source: RNAcentral